Molecule: long non-coding RNA, 359 nt
Organism: Sinocyclocheilus grahami
Lineage: Eukaryota; Metazoa; Chordata; Actinopteri; Cypriniformes; Cyprinidae
Exons: 4
Source: RefSeq, a predicted model, not a curated record
UCAUCCUCAGCUUCAUCCUCAUCCUCAGCAGGGACAGCACAGGAUUCAGCUCAGGCUACAUCAGCAGCAGAAUCCAAAAAUGAGGAAUCCAAAGACAAUCAAACCCCCUCAGGCAAGAUCUUCAACGACCCCAUUCAUGGUCAAAUUGAGCUGCACCCCCUGCUGGUGAAGAUCAUUGACACGCCACAGUUUCAGAGACUGAGAAAUAUUAAACAGCUGGGAGGAACAUAUCUGGUGUAUCCUGGAGCCACUCACACUCGCUUCGAACACUCUCUUGGUGCUGCAUAUUUAGCAGGACAUCUGGCAGAAGUUCUGAAAGAGAAACAACUGAAGGAGUUUGAAAAGAAACGAGAUGAGUU